UAAACUGCUUUUAUACGGGGAUAAAGUAUGCCACGUGUGGUUUAUUGCAGGUACCGUAUGAAUAAGGACCGGCUAAUUCCGUGCCAGCAGCCGCGGUAAUACGGAAGGUCCGGGCGUUAUCCGGAUUUAUUGGGUUUAAAGGGAGCGUAGGCCGGGUUUUAAGCGUGCCGUGAAAUGUCGGGGCUCAACCUUGACACUGCGGCGCGAACUGGAGUCCUUGAGUGCGCGGAACGUAUGCGGAAUUCGUGGUGUAGCGGUGAAAUGCUUAGAUAUCACGAAGAACCCCGAUUGCGAAGGCAGCAUACGGCAGCGCUACUGACGCUGAAGCUCGAAGGCGCGGGUAUCGAACAGGAUUAGAUACCCUGGUAGUCCGCGCGGUAAACGAUGGAUGCCCGCUGUUGGCGAUAUAUUGUCA
RNAcentral lists this ribosomal RNA (415 nucleotides) under uncultured bacterium. RNAcentral describes it as "bacterial SSU rRNA". It matches the Rfam family "Bacterial small subunit ribosomal RNA", at positions 426 to 842 of the family's 1533-position model. The record is from RNAcentral.